CCGAAGACAGUAGUAAAUGUGAUUUGCAGGGUGCAAGCAACGUGUCAUUGUGGUUAGAAAAAAUGAAUCAGUAUACAUGUGAUUUAACUGUCAAAGCCGGAAUGUUUAAAGGAUCGACUGUCCAGCGAGGAGAUUGCGGAAUCAGCAACUGAU
Molecule: long non-coding RNA, 153 nt
Organism: Rhipicephalus sanguineus (brown dog tick)
Lineage: Eukaryota; Metazoa; Arthropoda; Arachnida; Ixodida; Ixodidae
Exons: 3
Source: RefSeq, a predicted model, not a curated record